AGUGAACGCUGGCGGCGUGCUUAACACAUGCAAGUCGAACGAGAACGGAAUAUAGCUUGCUAUAUUUGUCAGCUAAGUGGCGCACGGGUGAGUAAUGUAUAGAUAACCUGCCCUUAAGAAAGGAAUAACAGUUGGAAACGACUGCUAAUGCCCUAUAUGCCUUUAAUACAUAAGUAUGCAAGGGCAACGCUUUAGUGCUUAAGGAUGGGUCUGUAUGGUAUCAGCUUGUUGGUGAGGUAAUGGCUCACCAAGGCUAUGACGCCUAACUGGUUUGAGAGGAUGAUCAGUCACACUGGAACUGAGACACGGUCCAGACUCCUACGGGAGGCAGCAGUGGGGAAUAUUGCACAAUGGACGAAAGUCUGAUGCAGCAACGCCGCGUGGAGGAUGACACAUUUCGGUGCGUAAACUCCUUUUAUAUAGGAAGAUAAUGACGGUACCACAUGAAUAAGCACCGGCUAACUCCGUGCCAGCCGCCGCCGUAA
Molecule: ribosomal RNA, 485 nt
Filed under: uncultured bacterium
Lineage: Bacteria
Description: partial 16S ribosomal RNA
Rfam family: Bacterial small subunit ribosomal RNA
Source: RNAcentral